Molecule: unclassified non-coding RNA, 243 nt
Filed under: Hevea brasiliensis (rubber tree)
Lineage: Eukaryota; Viridiplantae; Streptophyta; Magnoliopsida; Malpighiales; Euphorbiaceae
Source: RNAcentral
UCAAAUCCCCAACAGCCCAAGUAGAAAAUGCAAUUCAACAUAACACUCAUGACCAAAAGAAAAGAAACAUUAUAGCAGCCUCUCUAACAAACAAGGUAAUCGAUAAAUUUCUUUUUCUCUUUUUGGCCUUUUUUCUUCAUAUUUUAGCAUUAUUAUCAAACCAAUGAAUUUGUAGCCACGGAAAAAGUUGGAAAUUGCUUACGCUUCAAUGUACAAGUUGCAUAGAUGUUCAGCAAUGAAUGA